Non-coding RNA from Vibrio sp. MEBiC08052, 117 nucleotides. The record is from Rfam. NCBI's taxonomy places the organism in Bacteria, Pseudomonadati, Pseudomonadota, Gammaproteobacteria, Vibrionales, Vibrionaceae.
UAAUGAUUAGCACCACCACCAUUAUUAUUACCGACACCACCAAUGUUGGGGCAGGCUGCUGAGCGAAAAAACUUCAAAAAAAGGCCUGUAUCCCCACAAGAUACAGGCCUUUUUUUA